CUCGAACUCACAAACUGUGAGAUCAUGACCUGAGCUGAAGUCAGACGCUUAACCGACUGAGCCAGCCAGGCGCCCCUGUCUCACAGUUCUGUAGGUCAGAAAGCCGAGUUGGCUCAACUGAUUAGUUUCACAAGACCAAAAUCAAGGCAACAAGGCUGUGUUCCUUUCUAGAGGCUCUGGGGAUGAAUCAGCUUCCAAGCUCAUUUCAUGUUGUUGGCCAGAAUGUUCCUUGCAGUUGUGGGACUAAGAUCCCUGUUUAAUGACUGGCUGUUGACCGGAGGUCAUCCUUAGCUUCUUCCACAUUCCUAGGCUCAUCAGCCCCUACCUCCAUCUUCAAAGCCAGCAACCAUGGUCAAAGCUUUCUCAUGUUUGGAGUCUCUCUGACUUCCCCUUCCUCAUCUCUCUGACUGCCAGAUCUAACUCCUGCCAGAGAAUUUUUAAUGUUUAUCUAUUUUUGAGAGAGAGAGACAGAGACAGAGAGCGAGUGGAGGAGGGGCAGAGAGAGAGGGAGACACAGAAUCCGAAGCAGGCUCCAGGCUCUGAGCUGUCAGCACAGAGACCAACUCAGGGCUUGAAUCCAUGAGCCGUGAGAUCAUGACCUGAGCCGAAGUCGGACACUUAACUGACUGAACCACCCAGGCACCCCUCUGGGUUUUUUUCUUAAUGUGUAUUAAUUUUGAGAGAGAAAGAGUACAAGCAGGGGGGGGCAGAGAGAAUGGGAGAGAGAAAAGCCCAAGCAGGCUCCACGCUGCCAGCACAAAGCCCGAUGCAGGGCUCAAUCCCAUGAACCAUGAGAUCAUGACCUGAGCCAAAAUCGAGUUGGAUGCUUAACUGACUGAGCCACCCAGGCACCCUGAGAAAUUUCUGUUUUUAAGGGCUCAGGUGAUUAGAUCAUGCCCACUAGGUAAUCCAGGGUGAUCUCCACAUCUUAAGGUCCAUAACCUUAAUCACAGCUGCAGAGCCCCUUCACCUCGGGACCUAGAUUAGUGUUUGAUUGAAUAACCAGGGGACAAGAAUCUGGGGAGGGUAUCUUGAGAUUCCUGACAACCACUCCUAUUUAACAUACUUAAUCCACAGAUAAGAGUCUGUAUCAUCAUUUUUUGGUCUUCACAUGUUCAGAGAGUAGGAUCCUCUUUGAGGCAAAGAGAAUUAAAUCCUUACAUGAUUCAGCACUGCCACAUUUGUAAACAGGGUGGGUGGGUGAGGGGAGAGUGAAGAAAAUGGAACAAACUGGCAUUAUGACAUGUUUAUCUCAUGGAGUCUUCAUCACAGCCCUAGGAAGUGAGUAUUUGUCACCUCGCUUAAAGAAUGACAAUGGGAAAUAGAAGAUUUUGCUCAGAGUUUGCACAGCUAGCCCAAUCCUGUCCAUCCCAGCUUUUCCACAGAACCUUCACCAGCCUUCCAGCCCAGAAUCUCUCCUCCUACAGAAUACCUCAGAAGUUUGCUUUAUUUAUGACACUUUCUUCCAUCACCUUUGAAUCCAGAGCAUAAGAAACCCCCUUCAAGAGGCCUUUCCUGAUUCCCUUGGGCCCGGAUCAGAAGCAGUCAGGCCUGGAUGUCUAAGCUGUAAGGAAUAAAGGUUCACUUAUAAAGGGUCGAACAGCUUUUCUGCAUCCGUUCUCCUCUCUGAAUCUUCCUCAACACGAGACAGAUGCGGUGAUCGGCUCUUUUCCAGGUGUGCAAACUGAGGUCAGACAGGUGCAGAACCUCACCAAAGGCUCCCCAGGGAAGAAGUGGCAGCGCUGAGACCCAGGCCCUCUGCCUCCAUAUCUCAAGCUCUUUCCGGGACUGUCCCUUCUGGGAAGGCUGGAGUCCCAGAGGGAGGACCCUCAGUCAGCUGAAGCAUUUCAGGGGUUAGACCCAGUCCCUGCUCCUACCCCCCACCCC
Molecule: long non-coding RNA, 1887 nt
Organism: Acinonyx jubatus (cheetah)
Lineage: Eukaryota; Metazoa; Chordata; Mammalia; Carnivora; Felidae
Exons: 3
Source: RefSeq, a predicted model, not a curated record